RNAcentral lists this non-coding RNA (21 nucleotides) under Caenorhabditis elegans. The record is from RNAcentral. Lineage: Eukaryota; Metazoa; Nematoda; Chromadorea; Rhabditida; Rhabditidae.
UCUGCAGCUAUAAUGCCACGA